Molecule: ribosomal RNA, 2902 nt
Filed under: Escherichia coli
Lineage: Bacteria; Pseudomonadati; Pseudomonadota; Gammaproteobacteria; Enterobacterales; Enterobacteriaceae
Description: bacterial LSU rRNA
Rfam family: Bacterial large subunit ribosomal RNA
Source: RNAcentral
UUAAGCGACUAAGCGUACACGGUGGAUGCCCUGGCAGUCAGAGGCGAUGAAGGACGUGCUAAUCUGCGAUAAGCGUCGGUAAGGUGAUAUGAACCGUUAUAACCGGCGAUUUCCGAAUGGGGAAACCCAGUGUGUUUCGACACACUAUCAUUAACUGAAUCCAUAGGUUAAUGAGGCGAACCGGGGGAACUGAAACAUCUAAGUACCCCGAGGAAAAGAAAUCAACCGAGAUUCCCCCAGUAGCGGCGAGCGAACGGGGAGCAGCCCAGAGCCUGAAUCAGUGUGUGUGUUAGUGGAAGCGUCUGGAAAGGCGCGCGAUACAGGGUGACAGCCCCGUACACAAAAAUGCACAUGCUGUGAGCUCGAUGAGUAGGGCGGGACACGUGGUAUCCUGUCUGAAUAUGGGGGGACCAUCCUCCAAGGCUAAAUACUCCUGACUGACCGAUAGUGAACCAGUACCGUGAGGGAAAGGCGAAAAGAACCCCGGCGAGGGGAGUGAAAAAGAACCUGAAACCGUGUACGUACAAGCAGUGGGAGCACGCUUAGGCGUGUGACUGCGUACCUUUUGUAUAAUGGGUCAGCGACUUAUAUUCUGUAGCAAGGUUAACCGAAUAGGGGAGCCGAAGGGAAACCGAGUCUUAACUGGGCGUUAAGUUGCAGGGUAUAGACCCGAAACCCGGUGAUCUAGCCAUGGGCAGGUUGAAGGUUGGGUAACACUAACUGGAGGACCGAACCGACUAAUGUUGAAAAAUUAGCGGAUGACUUGUGGCUGGGGGUGAAAGGCCAAUCAAACCGGGAGAUAGCUGGUUCUCCCCGAAAGCUAUUUAGGUAGCGCCUCGUGAAUUCAUCUCCGGGGGUAGAGCACUGUUUCGGCAAGGGGGUCAUCCCGACUUACCAACCCGAUGCAAACUGCGAAUACCGGAGAAUGUUAUCACGGGAGACACACGGCGGGUGCUAACGUCCGUCGUGAAGAGGGAAACAACCCAGACCGCCAGCUAAGGUCCCAAAGUCAUGGUUAAGUGGGAAACGAUGUGGGAAGGCCCAGACAGCCAGGAUGUUGGCUUAGAAGCAGCCAUCAUUUAAAGAAAGCGUAAUAGCUCACUGGUCGAGUCGGCCUGCGCGGAAGAUGUAACGGGGCUAAACCAUGCACCGAAGCUGCGGCAGCGACGCUUAUGCGUUGUUGGGUAGGGGAGCGUUCUGUAAGCCUGCGAAGGUGUGCUGUGAGGCAUGCUGGAGGUAUCAGAAGUGCGAAUGCUGACAUAAGUAACGAUAAAGCGGGUGAAAAGCCCGCUCGCCGGAAGACCAAGGGUUCCUGUCCAACGUUAAUCGGGGCAGGGUGAGUCGACCCCUAAGGCGAGGCCGAAAGGCGUAGUCGAUGGGAAACAGGUUAAUAUUCCUGUACUUGGUGUUACUGCGAAGGGGGGACGGAGAAGGCUAUGUUGGCCGGGCGACGGUUGUCCCGGUUUAAGCGUGUAGGCUGGUUUUCCAGGCAAAUCCGGAAAAUCAAGGCUGAGGCGUGAUGACGAGGCACUACGGUGCUGAAGCAACAAAUGCCCUGCUUCCAGGAAAAGCCUCUAAGCAUCAGGUAACAUCAAAUCGUACCCCAAACCGACACAGGUGGUCAGGUAGAGAAUACCAAGGCGCUUGAGAGAACUCGGGUGAAGGAACUAGGCAAAAUGGUGCCGUAACUUCGGGAGAAGGCACGCUGAUAUGUAGGUGAAGCGACUUGCUCGUGGAGCUGAAAUCAGUCGAAGAUACCAGCUGGCUGCAACUGUUUAUUAAAAACACAGCACUGUGCAAACACGAAAGUGGACGUAUACGGUGUGACGCCUGCCCGGUGCCGGAAGGUUAAUUGAUGGGGUUAGCGCAAGCGAAGCUCUUGAUCGAAGCCCCGGUAAACGGCGGCCGUAACUAUAACGGUCCUAAGGUAGCGAAAUUCCUUGUCGGGUAAGUUCCGACCUGCACGAAUGGCGUAAUGAUGGCCAGGCUGUCUCCACCCGAGACUCAGUGAAAUUGAACUCGCUGUGAAGAUGCAGUGUACCCGCGGCAAGACGGAAAGACCCCGUGAACCUUUACUAUAGCUUGACACUGAACAUUGAGCCUUGAUGUGUAGGAUAGGUGGGAGGCUUNGAAGUGUGGACGCCAGUCUGCAUGGAGCCGACCUUGAAAUACCACCCUUUAAUGUUUGAUGUUCUAACGUUGACCCGUAAUCCGGGUUGCGGACAGUGUCUGGUGGGUAGUUUGACUGGGGCGGUCUCCUCCUAAAGAGUAACGGAGGAGCACGAAGGUUGGCUAAUCCUGGUCGGACAUCAGGAGGUUAGUGCAAUGGCAUAAGCCAGCUUGACUGCGAGCGUGACGGCGCGAGCAGGUGCGAAAGCAGGUCAUAGUGAUCCGGUGGUUCUGAAUGGAAGGGCCAUCGCUCAACGGAUAAAAGGUACUCCGGGGAUAACAGGCUGAUACCGCCCAAGAGUUCAUAUCGACGGCGGUGUUUGGCACCUCGAUGUCGGCUCAUCACAUCCUGGGGCUGAAGUAGGUCCCAAGGGUAUGGCUGUUCGCCAUUUAAAGUGGUACGCGAGCUGGGUUUAGAACGUCGUGAGACAGUUCGGUCCCUAUCUGCCGUGGGCGCUGGAGAACUGAGGGGGGCUGCUCCUAGUACGAGAGGACCGGAGUGGACGCAUCACUGGUGUUCGGGUUGUCAUGCCAAUGGCACUGCCCGGUAGCUAAAUGCGGAAGAGAUAAGUGCUGAAAGCAUCUAAGCACGAAACUUGCCCCGAGAUGAGUUCUCCCUGACNNNNNNNNNGUCCUGAAGGAACGUUGAAGACGACGACGUUGAUAGGCCGGGUGUGUAAGCGCAGCGAUGCGUUGAGCUAACCGGUACUAAUGAACCGUGAGGCUUAACCUU